UGGUAAAAAGGGGAGUCUAACCCCUCUUAGUGAGUUUACAAUUCACUACCUCAUCACUCGGUCAUUUUACC
This 71-nucleotide transfer RNA is filed under the name Tropidurus spinulosus. RNAcentral describes it as "tRNA-Tyr". The record is from RNAcentral. Lineage: Eukaryota; Metazoa; Chordata; Lepidosauria; Squamata; Tropiduridae.